UCACUACACCAGUUCAUAUUAUAAACUUAGAAGGAUACAGAAAAAAUUAAUGAGGCCCCAGUGCAAGGAUGGUACCCAUAUUUUCGAACCAUUCCUUACUAUU
RNAcentral lists this small nuclear RNA (103 nucleotides) under Dasypus novemcinctus (nine-banded armadillo). The record is from RNAcentral. Lineage: Eukaryota; Metazoa; Chordata; Mammalia; Cingulata; Dasypodidae.